GACGAACGCUGGCGGCGUGCUUAACACAUGCAAGUCGAACGGAGAGGCCUCUUUCGGGGGGUACUCGAGUGGCGAACGGGUGAGUAACACGUGAGUAACCUGCCCUUGACUUUGGGAUAACUUCAGGAAACUGGGGCUAAUACCGGAUAGGAGCUCCUGCUGCAUGGUGGGGGUUGGAAAGUUUCGGCGGUUGGGGAUGGACUCGCGGCUUAUCAGCUUGUUGGUGGGGUAGUGGCUUACCAAGGCUUUGACGGGUAGCCGGCCUGAGAGGGUGACCGGCCACAUUGGGACUGAGAUACGGCCCAGACUCCUACGGGAGGCAGCAGUGGGGAAUAUUGCACAAUGGGUGGAAGCCUGAUGCAGCAACGCCGUGUGCGGGAUGGCGGCCUUCGGGUUGUAAACCGCUUUCGCUCAUGACGAAGCUUUGUGUGACGGUAGUGGGUAAAGAAGCACCGGCUAACUACGUG
RNAcentral lists this ribosomal RNA (467 nucleotides) under uncultured bacterium. RNAcentral's name for it is "partial 16S ribosomal RNA". It matches the Rfam family "Bacterial small subunit ribosomal RNA", at positions 28 to 507 of the family's 1533-position model. The record is from RNAcentral.